GACGAACGCUGGAGGCGUGCCUAGCACAUGCAAGUCGAACGAUGAAAUGGAGCUUGCUCCCUGGAUUAGUGGCGAACGGGUGAGUAACACGUGAAUAACCUGCCCUUAAUUUUGGAAUAACCCAGGGAAACCUGGGCUAAUACCGGAUAAGUAAACCUGUGGCAUCACAUGGUUUUGGAAAGUUUUUCGAUUAAGGAUGGAUUCGCGGCGUAUCAGUUUGUUGGUGAGGAAAUGGCUGACCAAGGCGACGACGGGUAGCCGGCCUGAGAGGGGGAACGGCCACACGGGGACUGAGACACGGACCAGGCUGCUACGGGAGGCAUCAGUGGGGAAUAUUGCGCGGGGGUCGAGAGUCUUGCGCAGCGACGCCGCGUGAGGGACGAAGGUCUUCGGAUUGUAAACCUCUUUCAGCAGGGACGAAGCGAAAGUGACGGUACCUGCAGAAGAAGCACCGGCUAACUAUGUGCCAGCCGCCGCCGUAA
Molecule: ribosomal RNA, 482 nt
Filed under: uncultured bacterium
Lineage: Bacteria
Description: partial 16S ribosomal RNA
Rfam family: Bacterial small subunit ribosomal RNA
Source: RNAcentral